GUCGACUGAUUAGGGAGAGAGUGGAAUAAUCCGAAUAACUAUUUCUACGAUCCUGCUCCAUUCCAGCCCUGCCAAAGACCCAUGGAGGGACUUAUGGUAUGCACGUCACACCCAAGAUAGGGUAUAACAGAGUGAGGCAUCUAGGUCCCAGUAUUCCUGAUUGUUAGGGGGAUGUUAUUUCCAAGAGUAGGUCUACGAAGUCUGAAGUCUAGGAUUCCCUAUGAAGGGUUACCCACCAUCAUCGUCUAGAGUCCCGUGAUCUCAUAG
Pelobates cultripes (western spadefoot toad) is the source of this 267-nucleotide non-coding RNA. The record is from the annotation of a GenBank genome assembly. NCBI's taxonomy places the organism in Eukaryota, Metazoa, Chordata, Amphibia, Anura, Pelobatidae.